This 444-nucleotide ribosomal RNA is filed under the name uncultured bacterium. RNAcentral describes it as "partial 16S ribosomal RNA". It matches the Rfam family "Bacterial small subunit ribosomal RNA", at positions 339 to 795 of the family's 1533-position model. The record is from RNAcentral.
CUACGGGUCGCUCCAGUGGGGAAUAUUGCACAAUGGGCGAAAGCCUGAUGCAGCAACGCCGCGUGAGGGACGACGGCCUUCGGGUUGUAAACCUCUUUUAGCAGGGAAGAAGCGAAAGUGACGGUACCUGCAGAAAAAGCACCGGCUAACUACGUGCCAGCAGCCGAGGUAAUACGUAGGGUGCAAGCGUUGUCCGGAAUUAUUGGGCGUAAAGAGCUCGUAGGCGGUUUGUCGCGUCUGCUGUGAAAAUCCGAGGCUCAACCUCGGACCUGCAGUGGGUACGGGCAAACUAGAGUGCGGUAGGGGAGAUUGGAAUUCCUGGUGUAGCGGUGGAAUGCGCAGAUAUCAGGAGGAACACCAAUGGCGAAGGCAGAUCUCUGGGCCGUAACUGACGCUGAGGAGCGAAAGCGUGGGGAGCGAACAGGAUUAGAUACCCCUGUAGUC